UGUAACUGUGUUCGAGAUUGUUUGUUUUUACCGGUUUUUAGUUUUUACGAGGCAAAUUCUACCAGAAAUUUGAUACGUAAAAACAAGUCCCGUAGUUGUAGACUAAUCAUGGUUGUUUAGUGUUACAUAAAUUUUUUGAUUCUACUGUUGCUAGAAGAUCAUUGGCAUUCCCAAUUGACAACAUCCUGACUAUUUCAUAUAUGUACUAGUACAUCUACUAGUACUAAACACAACUUUAGCUACCAGACAUCAGCUGCUUUAAGACCCAAAAAUUGUCGAUGGAUGAAACAGGCCCUCUCUAACAGAUAAAGGUAGAACUGUACUGCUAUACUUGAACUAGCCUACAUGUGUAAUUGAAACAGUCUGUGGCUAUUUUCACAAAAGAAAUAAGACAACUGUCAAGAUUCUACUAUGUGGAUUGGAUCAGAUCAUCUAUUAAUCCUGCAUCGCUAUUAAGUAUUCGAUGGUGGAAAACUGGAAACUGACGAGAGAUCAGUGACGAUAGUCAUACGAUGUACGAGAUAGUCAUCAUACAAUAAUUCUGGCAUUAUUACGAAAAUUUGAUCAUCCGAGAUAGUCAACAGUACCUCUCACUGGCGUGCCGUCCUUUCGUCGCUCCGAUUGAGCCUGCACCAUGGCCUGAUCCAACUACGCGGCCACCAGCAUCAUUCGACUACCCAACCGACUGCCGGUGAGUCG
This 699-nucleotide long non-coding RNA is filed under the name Daphnia pulicaria. RNAcentral describes it as "uncharacterized LOC124341585, transcript variant X1". Lineage: Eukaryota; Metazoa; Arthropoda; Branchiopoda; Diplostraca; Daphniidae. The record is from RNAcentral.